CGUAACAAGGUCUCCGUAGGUGAACCUGCGGAGGGAUCAUUACACAAAUAUGAAGGCGGGCUGGAACCUCUCGGGGUUACAGCCUUGCUGAAUUAUUCACCCUUGUCUUUUGCGUACUUCUUGUUUCCUUGGUGGGUUCGCCCACCACUAGGACAAACGUAAACCUUUUGUAAUUGCAAUCAGCGUCAGUAACAAAUUAAUAAUUACAACUUUCAACAACGGAUCUCUUGGUUCUGGCAUCGAUGAAGAACGCAGCGAAAUGCGAUAAGUAGUGUGAAUUGCAGAAUUCAGUGAAUCAUCGAAUCUUUGAACGCACAUUGCGCCCUUUGGUAUUCCAAAGGGCAUGCCUGUUCGAGCGUCAUUUGUACCCUCAAGCUUUGCUUGGUGUUGGGCGUCUUGUCUCUAGCUUUGCUGGAGGCUCGCCUUAAAGUAAUUGGCAGCCGGCCUACUGGUUUCGGAGCGCAGCACAAGUCGCACUCUCUAUUAGCAAAGGUCUAGCAUCCAUUAAGCCUUUUUUUCAACUUUUGACCUCGGAUCAGGUAGGGAUACCCGCUGAACUUAAGCAUAUCA
Molecule: ribosomal RNA, 570 nt
Filed under: uncultured fungus
Lineage: Eukaryota; Fungi
Description: eukaryotic LSU rRNA
Rfam family: 5.8S ribosomal RNA (bases 208-361)
Source: RNAcentral